This 497-nucleotide ribosomal RNA is filed under the name uncultured bacterium. RNAcentral's name for it is "partial 16S ribosomal RNA". It matches the Rfam family "Bacterial small subunit ribosomal RNA", at positions 28 to 507 of the family's 1533-position model. The record is from RNAcentral.
GAUGAACGCUGGCGGCGUGCCUAAUACAUGCAAGUCGAGCGAACAGACGAGGAGCUUGCUCCUUCGACGUUAGCGGCGGACGGGUGAGUAACACGUAGGUAACCUACCUAUAAGACUGGGAUAACUUCGGGAAACCGGAGCUAAUACCGGAUAAUAUUUCGAACCGCAUGGUUCGAUAGUGAAAGAUGGCUUUGCUAUCACUUAUAGAUGGACCUGCGCCGUAUUAGCUAGUUGGUAAGGUAACGGCUUACCAAGGCAACGAUACGUAGCUGACCUGAGAGGGUGAUCGGCCACACUGGAACUGAGACACGGUCCAGACUCCUACGGGAGGCAGCAGUAGGGAAUCUUCCGCAAUGGGCGAAAGCCUGACGGAGCAACGCCGCGUGAGUGAUGAAGGUCUUCGGAUCGUAAAACUCUGUUAUUAGGGAAGAACAAACGUGUAAGUAACUGUGCACGUCUUGACGGUACCUAAUCAGAAAGCCACGGCUAACUACGUG